AAGUCACAACAGCUUUUGAAUUGUGGUGUCAGAGCCCCAAAAAGAAUACAGAAGAGAAGAUCUGUGAGGACUGAUUGGAUAGAAGAAUGGUCUUCGUUUAUCCUUUAGUGGUAGAACAGCUUCCUGCAGUAGCUGUAGGACUACCUUUUUAAAAGUGCUGCAUAUGGCACCUUUUGGGAUAGAGAGGUUUAGCCACCAUCAGACACAGACAACAGUUUUCCCUUUCAGGCCUGGCCUGGUAUCAUUUUGGUUAAUCCAGACGUCUGAAAGCUGCUCUAGUAGUCUGAGCAGGUAAAAAGCUUUACUGUGUUCUUUGAGCUAGAGGUGUGUGUGUACAACUGAGACAAAUUACACAGGAGAGCUCAAAAGGAUGAGGGAGGAAGGCUGAGCUCUGCCACAUGACUGACUAAACCUUUCAUUUCUCAGUAGGAUUCCUGCUGAAGUUUUCUCUUGGACAAGGUACCAUGAACACACAUUAUGAGCUUAACAUGAGCCAGGGAUCGUUUCCAUCCCAUACUGUGGAUGGCACCAUCCUGUUAUGAGAGGAGCCAACACUAGAUAAAAAGCAGAGAUUAGAGGAAAGCAUUACAAGUCAACUACUAAAAACUGGAUGUUUGGAGGUGCUGCCACCUCAGCCUCAGGAGGGUUGCCAUCCAUGCUGAGGUGGUCCUCAAGCUGAUCAGCAUCCAGAAGAUUCAGCAGAGCUGGACUGUGGGAAAACUGUGGGAAGGCUUCUUGAGGAACAAGGUGAUAAUGCUGUUAUUUAGAAGCUUUGCAGCUGAACCUAAGAAAUAUAUUUAUGCUACAACAGUGAAUGGAGCAACAGCAAAUUGUCUAAGAAGUCCAAAAGCUCCUGUUCAAGAAUGCAACAGUUGA
RNAcentral lists this long non-coding RNA (876 nucleotides) under Parus major (Great Tit). RNAcentral's name for it is "lncRNA (ENSPMJG00000012461.1)". The record is from RNAcentral. Lineage: Eukaryota; Metazoa; Chordata; Aves; Passeriformes; Paridae.